RNAcentral lists this transfer RNA (95 nucleotides) under Phytophthora infestans (potato late blight agent). RNAcentral's name for it is "tRNA-Val". The record is from RNAcentral. Lineage: Eukaryota; Oomycota; Peronosporomycetes; Peronosporales; Peronosporaceae.
AUGCUCUUAGCUCAUCCGAGUCGUCGGCAACCACUCAGCGGUUGAACUUUCGCUUCACAAGCGAUAGGUCGGUGGCUCGAUCCCACCAGGGCGUC